This 1734-nucleotide ribosomal RNA is filed under the name Triticum aestivum (bread wheat). Its description in RNAcentral is "partial small subunit ribosomal RNA". The record is from RNAcentral. Lineage: Eukaryota; Viridiplantae; Streptophyta; Magnoliopsida; Poales; Poaceae.
AUGGCGGCGAUCACCGCGCCGCUGCAUCCUCCCCUCGCCGUAUUCGCCGCCGCGCCCUGCCACGGAGUGCGCUUCCGCCGCGCUCCACUCAUCCGCAUGGCGUCCUCCUCCUCAUCGUCUUCGCCUUCGUUCUCCUCGUCCUCCUCUUCCUCCUACGGAGGUGGUGGGGGCGGGGCCGGGGGAGGGGGCGAGAUCCACUACGUCUCGCCGCCUCCCCCGCCCUCCACGCCCUCCGGGGCGCCCGUGUACGUGACGCUUCCGGUUGACGCCGUGGGUGCAGGGGGGCGCGUGGCGCGCAGGCGGGCCAUGGCGGCUUCGCUCGCCGCGCUGGCGAGCGCCGGGGUGACAGGGGUCGCGGUGGAGCUGUGGUGGGGCGUCGUAGAGCGCGGGGGGCCUCGGGAGUACGACUGGGCGGGGUACCUCGACCUCGCCGCCAUGGCGAGGCGCUGCGGGCUCCGCGUGCGCGCCAUCCUCGCCUUCCACCAGUGCGGCGCCGGGCCACAAGACUCAUUCUGGGUCCCUCUUCCACAAUGGGUGCUUGAGGAGAUGGAGAAGAUGCCAGACUUGUCAUAUACUGAUAGAUAUAAACAGAGAAACAAGGAAUACAUCUCAUUGGGAUGUGACAUUCUUCCACUUCUGAAGGGAAGAUCACCUAUGCAAGCUUAUGCUGACUUCAUGAGGAGCUUCCGCGACAAUUUCAAGGAGUACCUUGGGGCCAUAGUGACGGAAGUUCAAGUUGGAAUGGGCCCAGGAGGUGAGCUUAGGUAUCCAUCAUGCCCAACCGAGAAGCUAAAUCAGCCAGGCAGCUCAUCUGAACUUGGGGAAUUUCAAUGUUAUGACAAGCUUAUAUCAGACUCCUGUGUAUAUGAUGGCUUUAGUUUAUUCAACAAUCAACAGGGCCAAGACCGCAAGACUGAGGUGUCGUUUUGCCCUCGGCUUCAGUUUUUCAUGCAAGCAUCAUUGGGUGCUCAUGCGCGGAUUCUCGGGAUUCAAGAGUGGGGAAGUGGUGGUCCAGCUGGCAUAGAUAGCACGUGGCAGAAUCCUGAAGAGACAAACUUUUUCCGUGCCGAUGGAGGAUGCUGGAAUACCCCUUAUGGCCGAUUUUUCCUCGAGUGGUAUUCCGGAAUGCUUCUUCUCCAUGGAGAGAGGUUAUGCGCGGUCGCUGACGCCGUCUUUUCUGGCACCGGCGUGACCAUCUCGGGGAAGGUUUCCGGCAUACACUGGCACUACUACACAUGUUCACACCCAUCCGAGCUGACAGCCGGCUACUACAACACAUUGCUAAGAGACGGCUAUCUCCCCAUCGCCCAAAUGUUCUCUCGACACAGAGCUGCCCUGUGCUGCGGCUGUUUCGACCUGAGGGACGAGGAGAGAAGCGGUCCUCAGAGCAGCCCCGAAGGCACUCUCCGGCAACUGAUGGCUGCCGCUAAGGUAUGGAACCUACCUCUCAACGGCGAGAACUCCGUGGCGAGGCUGGACGACGCGUCGCUGAGCCAGGUCGUCAGAAGCUCGAGGCGCUACUCGGGCGGCACCUCGGGCACGUCUUUCUCCUUCAACUAUGUCAGGAUGAACAAGAGCCUGUUCGAGUCACACAACUGGAACCGGUUUACGAAGUUCGUCAGGAAGAUGUCGGAUGCCAGAACCUUUCUGGCUAGACUGAACUUCAGGAGACACCAAUGCCUGCCUUCAAUGUCAGUUGUUUGGGUUGCUAGCCAGGCCUAUGCAUACACAUGA